AGCAGCCGCGGUAAUUCCAGCUCCAAUAGCGUAUAUUAAAGUUGUUGCAGUUAAAAAGCUCGUAGUUGAAUUUCGGGGUUCUACCGUUGGUCAGGCUAUAGUCUGUACUGGCGUGUGGAAUUUCUACCUUCUGGGGAACUAUCAUGUUAUUAAUUUAGCGUGGUAGGAAGCCAGAACCUUUACCUUGAAAAAAUUAGAGUGUUCAAAGCAGGCUUACGUCUGAAUACAUUAGCAUGGAAUAAUAAAAUAGGACGGUGGUCCUGUUUUGUUGGUUUCUGAAUCACCGUAAUGAUUAAUAGGGAUAGUUGGGGGCAUUAGUAUUUAAUUGUCAGAGGUGAAAUUCUUGGAUUUAUUGAAGACUAACUUCUGCGAAAGCAUUUGCCAAGGAUGUUUUCAUUAAUCAAGAACGAAAGUUAGGGGAUCGAAGACGAUCAGAUACCGUCGUAGUCUUAACCAUAAACUAUGCCGACUAGGAAUCGGACGAUGU
Molecule: small RNA, 487 nt
Filed under: uncultured Gigaspora
Lineage: Eukaryota; Fungi; Glomeromycota; Glomeromycetes; Diversisporales; Gigasporaceae
Description: SSU rRNA
Rfam family: Eukaryotic small subunit ribosomal RNA
Source: RNAcentral